AACGCAGCGAAGGGCGAUACGUAAUGUGAAUUGCAGAAUUCAGUGAAUCAUCGAAUCUUUGAACGCACCUUGCGCCCCUUGGCAUUCCGAGGGGCACACCCGUUUGAGCGUCGUGAAAUUCUCAAAAACCCUUUUCUUUUGGGAAAGGAUUUUGGACUUGGAGGCUUUUUGCUGGUUUCACCUCGAAGCCAGCUCCUCCUAAAUAAAUUAGUGGGGUCUGCUUUGCCGAUCCUUGACGUGAUAAGAUGUUUCUACGUCUUGGGUUUGGCAUCGUCCCUUGGACUCCUGCUUCUAACCGUCUCAUUGACAAUGAUGGUGUUCCGGUCACCACCGUUUCAUCGGUGGGAGGCUUGAACCACGAAAAGAACCUUGACCUCAAAUCGGGUGAGACUACCCGCUGAACUUAA
Molecule: ribosomal RNA, 407 nt
Filed under: uncultured fungus
Lineage: Eukaryota; Fungi
Description: eukaryotic LSU rRNA
Rfam family: 5.8S ribosomal RNA (bases 1-113)
Source: RNAcentral